RNAcentral lists this ribosomal RNA (497 nucleotides) under uncultured bacterium. Its description in RNAcentral is "partial 16S ribosomal RNA". It matches the Rfam family "Bacterial small subunit ribosomal RNA", at positions 28 to 507 of the family's 1533-position model. The record is from RNAcentral.
GAUGAACGCUGGCGGCGUGCCUAAUACAUGCAAGUCGAGCGAACGGACGAGAAGCUUGCUUCUCUGAUGUUAGCGGCGGACGGGUGAGUAACACGUGGAUAACCUACCUAUAUGACUGGGAUAACUUCGGGAAACCGGAGCUAAUACCGGAUAAUAUUUUGAACCGCAUGGUUCAAAAGUGAAAGACGGUCUUGCUGUCACUUAUAGAUGGAUCCGCGCUGCAUUAGCUAGUUGGUAAGGUAACGGCUUACCAAGGCAACGAUGCAUAGCCGACCUGAGAGGGUGAUCGGCCACACUGGAACUGAGACACGGUCCAGACUCCUACGGGAGGCAGCAGUAGGGAAUCUUCCGCAAUGGGCGAAAGCCUGACGGAGCAACGCCGCGUGAGUGAUGAAGGUCUUCGGAUCGUAAAACUCUGUUAUUGGGGAAGAACAGAUGUGGAAGUAACUGUGCACAUCUUGACGGUACCUAAUCAGAAAGCCACGGCUAACUACGUG